UCGUUCUGCUGAAAAUCACAUUGAGUUGCAAAACGAGAAGAAGAAGAAGGGCAGCAAGUGCAGGGACACUCUGCACUCAAAAUAUUUUAUUUUCGGAAAUUGGAACAGCUGAAUAAAUAUAGAAAAAGUGCAUAAACAUAGGAAACUUUCCGAUCUCAAUCAGUUGCAGUUACAAGCUUCAGAGUGCAACAUGUCUAAGGUACUUGUGAUAGCUCUAUUGGUAUUAGUGCAAGCUAUCUGUUUGCUAGCAGAUACAUCAAAUCUAAGGAAACUCAUCAGAGAUAUCAGAAUGAAACUAUUUGAUCUGAUUGAGGAUUUACGUAACAGUUAAUUGGAUUACUGGAAUAUUAUUUGAUAUAUGUAUUUAUAUUUAUAUGUAGGCAAU
This 385-nucleotide small RNA is filed under the name Drosophila mojavensis. Its description in RNAcentral is "GI25681". Lineage: Eukaryota; Metazoa; Arthropoda; Insecta; Diptera; Drosophilidae. The record is from RNAcentral.